Betta splendens (Siamese fighting fish) is the source of this 1270-nucleotide long non-coding RNA. RefSeq lists it as uncharacterized. The transcript is spliced from 3 exons. The record is from RefSeq and is a predicted model, not a curated record. Lineage: Eukaryota; Metazoa; Chordata; Actinopteri; Anabantiformes; Osphronemidae.
UAUAGUUUUAACUGAGAAUACUAAAUAAAUCUGUGAGUUCCAACACUGCAUUAUAGAAAAAAAUUCUGUUUCUGUCAGGAAACGCUCGGAUGAGGACCCAAAUGCACAGCAGAACACAGGUUGACGGUGAUCAAAGGGUGGUUUAUUCCGGGUAGGCAGAGACAGCGUCAGGGACAGGCAAGGUUCGUACACGAAAGCCAGAAAAUAACAGUACCGAGUCGUCAGGCGGAGAAGCGUGGUCAGGCAGGCAAACAAGGUUGAUCAUUAACGCCAGGAUACAUGAAAACACAGCCGGACAGGAACAAUGAACUGGGGAAACAACGAUGACACACGAAACAACGAUCUGGCAAAAUACGAGGGUGAGAGGUGGAGCUUAAAUACAAGUGUUUCCAGUGUCAUCAAAGUCCUGCUGACUUCUAACAAACCCUGCUGACAGAAUUCUGGCAAUGUCAGCUUCACUGCUGCCGAUUCCUCUUGGAUGAAGUUGUGACAAUCAGCCUUCGCACCGCAAGGGGCACUCCUGUGUUUUUGUGUGAGUCAUUUCCUGAGUUAAUUUCCUGUGUUCUGUAAUGAGUUGAUGAUAUCCACCUGCUUCAUGUUGUAUUUAAGUCAUGCCUUUUGUUUCACCCGUUGGUGGUGUGUUAAGUCGUAAACACGGUCAUAAGCUCGGUAAGCUAUGUUGGGUUACAAGUUUUGAAGAGAGGAGCCUUUUGAUGGAAUGGAGUUUUUGUUUUCUUUGAUGGUUGUCCUUAAGGUUUGUAUUGUGUAUCUGUCUUCUUUGUUUAAAGAUGUAGUUUAGCCGGAUGGGUUCAGUACUGUUUAGUUUAUUCAGAGUUGUGUCGAGUGAGUGUCUUGUGUUUUAUGUUUAGGUUUGUGUGCCAAUUAGGAAUGGAGCGUUUCUACAGUACUAUAGUUCGUUUACGUAGUAGUUUUUAGUUUUCCUGCAUAGCAGCGAUUUUUAGUUCUCACGUUUUUGUUUGAUCUUGAGUGAGUUUAUGUUUGUAUUUAAUAAAUCAUUUUAUGUUAAACUGUACUUCCUGUGUUUGGGUUGUGCGUUUGGGGUCUUUCAAUGUCUUUUCAAUGUCAAUGUUUUGUCGUCUGUAUGCAAUCUGAACAGUCUUUACAAUUUUACAAGGCGUGAUCUGAUGCAGUUUGAUCAUUGAGAUUGGAAGUAGGUAAAAGAGAAUGAGGACUGGAUAAUUCUGCUGUUUACUGCUUCGAUCUUCUGUCAGUAAAAUAUAAAAUGUUAAACCUUUGAAUCCCGUAUUUU